RNAcentral lists this transfer RNA (77 nucleotides) under Cordylochernes scorpioides. Its description in RNAcentral is "tRNA-Glu". The record is from RNAcentral. Lineage: Eukaryota; Metazoa; Arthropoda; Arachnida; Pseudoscorpiones; Chernetidae.
UGUCCAAUGCGGGAAUCGAACCCGGGUCGUAGUGGUCGAAAACCAAACGGUUUAACCAGCCUUCCACCGAGCUAGGU